UGCAGAAUCCCGUGAACCAUCGAGUCUUUGAACGCAAGUUGCGCCCCAAGCCUUUGGGUCGAGGGCACGUCUGCCUGGGUGUCACGC
This 87-nucleotide ribosomal RNA is filed under the name Daphne longilobata. RNAcentral's name for it is "partial 5.8S ribosomal RNA". It matches the Rfam family "5.8S ribosomal RNA", at positions 73 to 154 of the family's 154-position model. From Rfam's summary of the family: 5.8S ribosomal RNA (5.8S rRNA) is a component of the large subunit of the eukaryotic ribosome. It is transcribed by RNA polymerase I as part of the 45S precursor that also contains 18S and 28S rRNA. Lineage: Eukaryota; Viridiplantae; Streptophyta; Magnoliopsida; Malvales; Thymelaeaceae. The record is from RNAcentral.